GGCGAUAUAGCUAAGUGGUAAGGCAGUGAAUUGCAAAUUCAUUAUCCCCAGUUCGAUUCUGGGUGUCGCUU
This 71-nucleotide transfer RNA is filed under the name Karlodinium veneficum. RNAcentral's name for it is "tRNA-Cys". It matches the Rfam family "tRNA". From Rfam's summary of the family: Transfer RNA (tRNA) molecules are approximately 80 nucleotides in length. Their secondary structure includes four short double-helical elements and three loops (D, anti-codon, and T loops). Lineage: Eukaryota; Dinophyceae; Gymnodiniales; Kareniaceae. The record is from RNAcentral.